UUGCCAUGAUGAGAUUCAUUGAAAUUAAUGAAAGCAGCAAUGCUUAAUGUCCGGUUGACAAUCAUGUCAAUCCUGAGCGGUUAACUGAGCAA
Molecule: non-coding RNA, 92 nt
Organism: Spinacia oleracea (spinach)
Lineage: Eukaryota; Viridiplantae; Streptophyta; Magnoliopsida; Caryophyllales; Amaranthaceae
Source: Rfam